UGCAGUUCUGUGCCAACAAACUGGACAAGAAGGACUUCUUUGGCAAGUCAGAUCCAUUCAUAGUGUUCUACAGGAGUAACGAGGAUGGAACGUUUACUAUCUGCCAUAAAACUGAGGUUGUGAAGAACACGUUGAACCCAGUGUGGCAGUCAUUCACCAUUCCAGUCAGAGCGCUCUGCAAUGGGGACUUUGACAGGACGAUCAAGGUGGAGGUGUACGACUGGGACCGCGAUGGCAGCCAUGACUUCAUAGGGGAGUUCACCACUAGUUACCGGGAGCUAGCUCGAGGCCAGAGCCAGUUCAACGUCUAUGAGGUG
Long non-coding RNA from Oncorhynchus masou masou (cherry salmon), 317 nucleotides. RefSeq lists it as uncharacterized. NCBI's taxonomy places the organism in Eukaryota, Metazoa, Chordata, Actinopteri, Salmoniformes, Salmonidae. The record is from RefSeq and is a predicted model, not a curated record. The transcript is spliced from 4 exons.